RNAcentral lists this ribosomal RNA (685 nucleotides) under uncultured ciliate. Its description in RNAcentral is "SSU rRNA". It matches the Rfam family "Eukaryotic small subunit ribosomal RNA", at positions 322 to 1030 of the family's 1831-position model. Lineage: Eukaryota; Ciliophora. The record is from RNAcentral.
UCUGGAUGGUAGUGUAUUGGACUACCAUGGCUUUAACGGGUGACGGAGGAUUAGGGUUCGAUUCCGGAGAGGGAGCCUGAGAAACGGCUACCACAUCUAAGGWAGGCAGCAGGCGCGUAAAUUACCCAAUCCUGACUCAGGGAGGUAGUGACAAGAAAUAACGGACCGAGGCCUCGCGCUUCGGGAUUGCAAUGAGAACAAUUUAAACCCCUUAACGAGGAUCAAUUGGAGGGCAAGUCUGGUGCCAGCAGCCGCGGUAAUUCCAGCUCCAAUAGCGUAUAUUAAAGUUGUUGCAGUUAAAAAGCUCGUAGUUGGAUUUCUGGGAGGGYGCCAAUGUCCGCUGAGGCGUGAGCAGCGGCGCCCUUCCAUCCUUCUGUUAACGUUCCUUGGUAUUCAGUUACUGGUUUCGGGCUCAGAUAUUUUACCUUGAGAAAAUUAGAGUGUUUCAGGCAGGCUUGCGCCGGAAUACAUUAGCAUGGAAUAAUAGAAUAGGACUUUAGUCUCUUUCGUUGGUUUGAGGGACUGAAGUAAUGAUUAAUAGGGACAGUUGGGGGCAUUAGUAUUCAAUUGUCAGAGGUGAAAUUCUCGGAUUUGUUGAAGACUAACUUAUGCGAAAGCAUUUGCCAAGGAUGUUUUCAUUAAUCAAGAACGAAAGUUAGGGGAUCAAAGACGAUCAGAUACCGUC